GACGAACGCUGGCGGCGUGCUUAACACAUGCAAGUCGAACGGAAAGGCCCUGCUUUUGUGGGGUGCUCGAGUGGCGAACGGGUGAGUAACACGUGAGUAACCUGCCCUUGACUUUGGGAUAACUUCAGGAAACUGGGGCUAAUACCGGAUAGGAGCUCCUGCUGCAUGGUGGGGGUUGGAAAGUUUCGGCGGUUGGGGAUGGACUCGCGGCUUAUCAGCUUGUUGGUGGGGUAGUGGCUUACCAAGGCUUUGACGGGUAGCCGGCCUGAGAGGGUGACCGGCCACAUUGGGACUGAGAGACGGCCCAGACUCCUACGGGAGGCAGCAGUGGGGAACAUUGCACAAUGGGCGGAAGCCUGAUGCAGCAACGCCGCGUGCGGGAUGACGGCCUUCGGGUUGUAAACCGCUUUCGCCUGUGACGAAGCGUGAGUGACGGUAAUGGGUAAAGAAGCACCGGCUAACUACGUG
This 468-nucleotide ribosomal RNA is filed under the name uncultured bacterium. Its description in RNAcentral is "partial 16S ribosomal RNA". It matches the Rfam family "Bacterial small subunit ribosomal RNA", at positions 28 to 507 of the family's 1533-position model. The record is from RNAcentral.